AGAGUUUGAUCCUGGCUCAGGACGAACGCUGGCGGCGUGCCUAACACAUGCAAGUCGAGCGGAGCCAACCGAAUGAAGCCUUCGGGUGAAUUUUGGUGAAGCUUAGCGGCGGACGGGUGAGUAACGCGUGAGUAACCUGCCUAUAAGAGGGGGAUAACACAGAGAAAUUUGUGCUAAUACCGCAUAUUGAGUAAAUACCGCAUGAUAUAUACUUGAAAGAUUUAUCGCUUAUAGAUGGACUCGCGUCUGAUUAGAUAGUUGGUAGGGUAACGGCCUACCAAGUCGACGAUCAGUAGCCGAACUGAGAGGUUGAUCGGCCACAUUGGGACUAAGACACGGCCCAGACUCCUACGGGAGGCAGCAGUGGGGGAUAUUGCGCAAUGGGGGAAACCCUGACGCAGCAACGCCGCGUGCAGGAAGAAGGCCUUCGGGUUGUAAACUGUUGUCGCAAGGGAAGAAGACAGUGACGGUACCUUGUGAGAAAGCCACGGCUAACUACGUGCCAGCAGCCGCGGUAAUACGUAGGUGGCGAGCGUUGUCCGGAUUUACUGGGUGUAAAGGGCGCGUAGGCGGGACAUCAAGUCAGUCGUGAAAUACCGAGGCUCAACCUCGGGGCUGCGAUUGAAACUGAUAUUCUUGAGUGUCGGAGAGGAAAGCGGAAUUCCUAGUGUAGCGGUGAAAUGCGUAGAUAUUAGGAGGAACACCGGUGGCGAAGGCGGCUUUCUGGACGAUAACUGACGCUGAGGCGCGAAAGCGUGGGGAGCAAACAGGAUUAGAUACCCUGGUAGUCCACGCUGUAAACGAUGAAUGCUAGGUGUGGGAGUGCAAACUUCCGUGCCGCAGUUAACACAAUAAGCAUUCCACCUGGGGAGUACGGCCGCAAGGUUGAAACUCAAAGGAAUUGACGGGAGCCCGCACAAGCAGUGGAGUAUGUGGUUUAAUUCGACGCAACGCGAAGAACCUUACCAGGAUUUGACAUCCCGAGAACCCGACGUAAUGGUUGGGGUGCUCUUCGGAGAAUUCGGAGACAGGUGGUGCAUGGUUGUCGUCAGCUCGUGUCGUGAGAUGUUGGGUUAAGUCCCGCAACGAGCGCAACCCUUACGUUUAGUUGCUACGCAAGAGCACUCUAGACGGACUGCCGUUGACAAAACGGAGGAAGGCGGGGAUGACGUCAAAUCAUCAUGCCCCUUACAUUCUGGGCUACACACGUACUACAAUGGCGAAAACAAAGGGAAGCAAUACCGCGAGGUGGAGCAAACCCCAUAAAAGUCGUCCCAGUUCGGACUGCAGGCUGCAACCCGCCUGCACGAAGUUGGAAUUGCUAGUAAUCGCGGAUCAGCAUGCCGCGGUGAAUAUGUUCCCGGGCUUUGCACACACCGCCCGUCA
Molecule: ribosomal RNA, 1386 nt
Filed under: uncultured bacterium
Lineage: Bacteria
Description: bacterial SSU rRNA
Rfam family: Bacterial small subunit ribosomal RNA
Source: RNAcentral